Long non-coding RNA from Dalotia coriaria, 667 nucleotides. RefSeq lists it as uncharacterized. The transcript has 2 exons. The record is from RefSeq and is a predicted model, not a curated record. NCBI's taxonomy places the organism in Eukaryota, Metazoa, Arthropoda, Insecta, Coleoptera, Staphylinidae.
UUUGACGAGUUAAUUAUUGAGGUAGCUAAUAGAAAAUUAGACGUAUUUCAAUGUCGUGAUUGUUCGUGGAAAUUCGCCAAUCGUCGCGAGUUGUUUAACCAUCGCCGAGAAGAACACAGAAGAAAACGACAUGCAUUGAAACACAUUGUUUAUCAACACAAAGACGUUGAUUGUGUUGCAUUAGAUCUUCAAAUAUUACAUCCAGUGUGUGAUAGUGGCAGGCGCUUGCUGUUUGAACGGAUUGAAAUCAGCGCCGAGACCAGUCAAAAUCAAGGAUUCCUCCCACAGACGUUUCGCAUCUUCGGUUUUCCGGCAUUGGUGGAGUAACGCGCCGGCGCACAUUCCUUGUAAUAUUUAGCCGUUUCAUUAGCGGCUUCUUCCGCAACACAGCAAUGGAUACUAGUCUGCGCGCCUUGCACCACACUCUUCGCGAAUACCUUCGCGUAGAGUUUGAAUGGAACAGUGAUGAAGACGUUGAAACUAUCGGAAAGAUGUCUGCCAAGGUCGGAAUGGAUCACACCGGGAUGCAGAGUGUACGUAUGCACAUUUUUUAUAUCAGCGGCUGCGGAAAAUUGAAAUUAGUUGAGGUUAUAUGUAUGUUUGGUUGCAUACCUUCCAGGCGACGUGCCAAUUCAGUGGUGAAUAAAAUAUUCGCCAGUUUACUUUG